AUUGAACGCUGGCGGCAUGCUUUACACAUGCAAGUCGGACGGCAGCAUAGAAGAGCUUGCUCUUUUGAUGGCGAGUGGCGAACGGGUGAGUAAUGCAUCGGAACGUACCGAGUAGUGGGGGAUAACUGUCCGAAAGGAUGGCUAAUACCGCAUAUUCUCUGAGGAGGAAAGCAGGGGACCUUAGGGCCUUGCGCUAUUUGAGCGGCCGAUGUCUGAUUAGCUAGUUGGUGGGGUAAGAGCCCACCAAGGCGACGAUCAGUAGCGGGUCUGAGAGGAUGAUCCGCCACACUGGGACUGAGACACGGCCCAGACUCCUACGGGAGGCAGCAGUGGGGAAUUUUGGACAAUGGGCGCAAGCCUGAUCCAGCCAUGCCGCGUGUAUGAAGAAGGCCUUCGGGUUGUAAAGUACUUUUGUCAGGGAAGAAAAGCCCGGGGAUAACACCCUCAGGUCAUGACGGUACCUGAAGAAUAAGCACCGGCUAACUACGUGCCAGCAGCCGCGGUAAUACGUAGGGUGCGAGCGUUAAUCGGAAUUACUGGGCGUAAAGCGAGCGCAGACGGUUAUUUAAGCAAGAUGUGAAAGCCCCGGGCUCAACCUGGGAACUGCGUUUUGAACUGGGUAACUAGAGUGUGUCAGAGGGGGGUAGAAUUCCACGUGUAGCAGUGAAAUGCGUAGAGAUGUGGAGGAAUACCGAUGGCGAAGGCAGCCCCCUGGGAUAACACUGACGUUCAUGCUCGAAAGCGUGGGUAGCAAACAGG
Molecule: ribosomal RNA, 759 nt
Filed under: uncultured Neisseriaceae bacterium
Lineage: Bacteria; Pseudomonadati; Pseudomonadota; Betaproteobacteria; Neisseriales; Neisseriaceae
Description: bacterial SSU rRNA
Rfam family: Bacterial small subunit ribosomal RNA
Source: RNAcentral